UGGAGUAUAGCUCAGUGGUAGAAUGCUGUGCUCAGCAUGCAUGAGGCCCUGGGUUCAAUCCCCAGUACCUCUG
RNAcentral lists this transfer RNA (73 nucleotides) under Camelus bactrianus (Bactrian camel). It matches the Rfam family "tRNA". Rfam says of the family: Transfer RNA (tRNA) molecules are approximately 80 nucleotides in length. Their secondary structure includes four short double-helical elements and three loops (D, anti-codon, and T loops). Further hydrogen bonds mediate the characteristic L-shaped molecular structure. tRNAs have two regions of fundamental functional importance: the anti-codon, which is responsible for specific mRNA codon recognition, and the 3' end, to which the tRNAs corresponding amino acid is attached (by aminoacyl-tRNA synthetases). tRNAs cope with the degeneracy of the genetic code in two manners: having more than one tRNA (with a specific anti-codon) for a particular amino acid; and 'wobble' base-pairing, i.e. permitting non-standard base-pairing at the 3rd anti-codon position. Lineage: Eukaryota; Metazoa; Chordata; Mammalia; Artiodactyla; Camelidae. RNAcentral also lists the same sequence under 2 other names. The record is from Rfam by way of RNAcentral.